RNAcentral lists this ribosomal RNA (447 nucleotides) under uncultured bacterium. RNAcentral's name for it is "bacterial SSU rRNA". It matches the Rfam family "Bacterial small subunit ribosomal RNA", at positions 330 to 794 of the family's 1533-position model. The record is from RNAcentral.
UCCAGACUCCUACGGGAGGCAGCAGUGGGGAAUAUUGCACAAUGGGGGAAACCCUGAUGCAGCGACGCCGCGUGAGUGAAGAAGUAAUUCGUUAUGUAAAGCUCUAUCAGCAGGGAAGAAAAUGACGGUACCUGAGUAAGAAGCCCCGGCUAACUACGUGCCAGCAGCCGCGGUAAUACGUAGGGGGCAAGCGUUAUCCGGAUUCACUGGGCGUAAAGGGAGCGUAGACGGCGGCGCAAGUCUGGAGUGAAAGCCCGGGGCCCAACCCCGGGACUGCUCUGGAAACUGCGGCGCUGGAGUACGGGAGGGGCAGGCGGAAUUCCUGGUGUAGCGGUGAAAUGCGUAGAUAUUAGGAGGAACACCAGUGGCGAAGGCGGCCUGCUGGGCAGCAACUGACGCUGAGGCGCGAAAGCGUGGGGAGCAAACAGGAUUAGAUACCCCAGUAAC